Molecule: ribosomal RNA, 433 nt
Filed under: uncultured bacterium
Lineage: Bacteria
Description: partial 16S ribosomal RNA
Rfam family: Bacterial small subunit ribosomal RNA
Source: RNAcentral
AACGAACGCUGGCGGCAUGCCUAACACAUGCAAGUCGAACGAGACCUUCGGGUCUAGUGGCGCACGGGUGCGUAACGCGUGGGAACCUGCCUUUAGGUUCGGAAUAACUCAGAGAAAUUUGAGCUAAUACCGGAUGAUGUCUUCGGACCAAAGAUUUAUCGCCUUUGGAUGGGCCCGCGUUGGAUUAGCUAGUUGGUAGGGUAAAGGCCUACCAAGGCGACGAUCCAUAGCUGGUCUGAGAGGAUGAUCAGCCACACUGGGACUGAGACACGGCCCAGACUCCUACGGGAGGCAGCAGUGGGGAAUAUUGGACAAUGGGCGAAAGCCUGAUCCAGCAAUGCCGCGUGAGUGAUGAAGGCCUUAGGGUUGUAAAGCUCUUUUACCCGAGAUGAUAAUGACAGUAUCGGGAGAAUAAGCUCCGGCUAACUCCGUG